This 705-nucleotide ribosomal RNA is filed under the name uncultured bacterium. RNAcentral's name for it is "bacterial SSU rRNA". It matches the Rfam family "Bacterial small subunit ribosomal RNA", at positions 10 to 710 of the family's 1533-position model. The record is from RNAcentral.
CGUUUGAUCCUGGCUCAGAUUGAACGCUGGCGGCAUGCCUUACACAUGCAAGUCGAACGGUAACGCGGGGGCAACCCUGGCGACGAGUGGCGAACGGGUGAGUAAUACAUCGGAACGUGCCCAGUCGUGGGGGAUAACGUAGCGAAAGCUACGCUAAUACCGCAUACGAACUCUGGUUGAAAGCGGGGGAUCGCAAGACCUCGCGCGAUUGGAGCGGCCGAUGGCAGAUUAGGUAGUUGGUGGGGUAAAGGCCUACCAAGCCGACGAUCUGUAGCUGGUCUGAGAGGACGACCAGCCACACUGGGACUGAGACACGGCCCAGACUCCUACGGGAGGCAGCAGUGGGGAAUUUUGGACAAUGGGGGCAACCCUGAUCCAGCAAUGCCGCGUGUGUGAAGAAGGCCUUCGGGUUGUAAAGCACUUUUGUCCGGAAAGAAAACUUCUGGGUUAAUACCCUGGGAGGCUGACGGUACCGGAAGAAUAAGCACCGGCUAACUACGUGCCAGCAGCCGCGGUAAUACGUAGGGUGCGAGCGUUAAUCGGAAUUACUGGGCGUAAAGCGUGCGCAGGCGGUUUGUUAAGACAGAUGUGAAAUCCCCGGGCUUAACCUGGGAACUGCAUUGGUGACUGGCGGGCUAGAGUAUGGCAGAGGGGGGUAGAAUUCCACGUGUAGCAGUGAAAUGCGUAUAGAUGUGGAGGAAUACC